Molecule: ribosomal RNA, 2018 nt
Filed under: Perna canaliculus (greenshell mussel)
Lineage: Eukaryota; Metazoa; Mollusca; Bivalvia; Mytilida; Mytilidae
Description: bacterial LSU rRNA
Rfam family: Bacterial large subunit ribosomal RNA
Source: RNAcentral
CCGAACCCACCGUCGUUGAAAAGCCGGGGGAUGACUUGUGGCUAGGAGUGAAAGGCUAAUCAAGCUCGGAGAUAGCUGGUUCUCCUCGAAAGCUAUUUAGGUAGCGCCUCGGACGAAUACCACAGGGGGUAGAGCACUGUUUCGGCUAGGGGGUCAUCCCGACUUACCAACCCCAUGCAAACUCCGAAUACCAAUGAGUGCAAUCACGGGAGACACACGGCGGGUGCUAACGUCCGUCGUGAAAAGGGAAACAACCCAGACCGCCAGCUAAGGUCCCAAAGUUGUGGUUAAGUGGUAAACGAUGUGGGAAGGCUUAGACAGCUAGGAGGUUGGCUUAGAAGCAGCCAUUCCUUGAAAGAGUGCGUAAUAGCUCACUGGUCGAGUCGUCAUGCGCCGAUAAUGUAACGGGGCUAAACACAGUACCGAAGCUUCGCCUGUCGUAUUUAUACGGCGGGGUAGGGGAGUGUUGCGUAAGCCGUAGAAGCAAUGGUGAGAACCUAUGUGGAGGUAUCGCAAGUAAGCAUGCAGGCAUGAGUAACGAAAAAAUAGGUGAGAUACCUAUUCGCCGAAAGCCCGAGGUUUCCUGGGUAAAGUUUGUCUUCCCAGGGUUAGACGGCCCCUAAGGUCAGGCCGAAAGGCGUAGCCGAUGGGAAACUGGUUAAUAUUCCAGUUCUUCUGAUAAUUUCGAUGGAGUGACGCAUUAGGAAAGCUAUAUCGGGGCGUUGGUAGUCCCCGUCCGAAUCACGAGGUGUUGAUAGUUUUAGGCAAAUCCGGAACUUGAGCUGAGUGAGAGGCGAUUGAAGCUACGGCGGAGAGAAGUAUAGGGAUUCACGGUGCCAAGAAAGAGCUUCUAAGGCUAGGUUAUCAGGAACCGUACCGCAAACCGACACAGGUGGGCGAGACUAGUAAUCUAAGGCGUACGGGAGAACUCGCGUUAAGGAACUCGGCAAAUUGCAUACGUAACUUCGGAAAAAGUAUGGCCUAACACAUAAUGGUGAGGUUGCAGAGUCCAAGUGGAAGCGACUGUUUAUCAAAAACACAUGUCUCUGCUAACUCGUAAGAGGAUGUAUAGGGACUGACACCUGCCCGGUGCCGGUAGGUUAAGAGGAGCGGUUAGCGUAAGCGAAGCUGCGAAUUGAAGCCCCGGUAAACGGCGGCAAUAACUAUAAUUGUCCUAAGGUAGCGAAAUUCCUUGUCGGGUAAGUUCCGACCUGCACGAAUGGUGUAACGACUUCCACACUGUCUCAACGCGAGACCCGGUGAAAUUGUAGUAUCGGUGAAGAUACCGAUUACUCGUGGUUAGACGGAAAGACCCCAUGAACCUUUACUGUACCCUGAUAUUGAUAACAUGCUAUUCAUGUGUAGGAUAGGUGGGAGACUAUGAUACUAUGCCGCUAGGUGUAGUGGAGUUGUUGGUGAAAUACCACCCUUGAGUCUUGUGUUAUCUAACGGAUGCCCGCAAACGGGUAUUCGGACAGUGUUUGGUUGGCAGUUUGACUGGGGCGGUCACCUCCUAAAGAGUAACGGAGGUGCGCAAAGGUCACCUUAUCCUGGACGGAAAUCAGGAGUAAAGUGUAAAGGCAGAAGGUGGCUUGACUGCGAGACAGACAUGUCGAGCAGGUACGAAAGUAGGUCUUAGUGAUCUGGCGGUAGCGCGUGGAAGCGCCGUCACUUAACGGAUAAAAGGUACUCUGGGGAUAACAGGCUGAUCCUGCCCAAGCGUUCAUAGCGACGGCAGGGUUUGGCACCUCGAUGUCGGCUCAUCUCAUCCUGGGGCUGUAGCCGGUCCCAAGGGUAUGGCUGUUCGCCAUUUAAAGUGGUACGCGAGCUGGGUUUAGAACGUCGUGAGACAGUUCGGUCCCUAUCUGCCGUGGGCGCUGGAGAACUGAGGGGGGCUGCUCCUAGUACGAGAGGACCGGAGUGGACGAACCUCUGGUGUUCCGGUUGUCACGCCAGUGGCAUUGCCGGGUAGCUAUGUUCGGAAUAGAUAACCGCUGAAAGCAUCUAAGCGGGAAGCC